This 399-nucleotide ribosomal RNA is filed under the name uncultured bacterium. Its description in RNAcentral is "bacterial SSU rRNA". It matches the Rfam family "Bacterial small subunit ribosomal RNA", at positions 356 to 773 of the family's 1533-position model. The record is from RNAcentral.
GGGGGAUAUUGCACAAUGGAGGAAACUCUGAUGCAGCGACGCCGCGUGAGCGAAGAAGGUCUUCGGAUCGUAAAGCUCUGUCCUAAGGAAAGAUAGUGACGGUACCUUAGGAGGAAGCCCCGGCUAACUACGUGCCAGCAGCCGCGGUAAUACGUAGGGGGCGAGCGUUAUCCGGAAUUAUUGGGCGUAAAGGGUUCGCAGGCGGCCUUGUAAGUCAGAUGUGAAAGACAGCGGCUUAACCGUUGUAAGCAUUUGAAACUGCAGGGCUUGAGUACAGGAGAGGAAAGCGGAAUUCCUAGUGUAGCGGUGAAAUGCGUAGAUAUUAGGAGGAACACCAGUGGCGAAGGCGGCUUUCUGGACUGAUACUGACGCUGAGGAACGAAAGCGUGGGGAGCAAAC